CUUCCGCAUGGAAGAAGAUUGAAAGACGGCUCUGCUGUCACUUAUAGAUGACCUUGCGGUGCAUUAGUUAGUUGGUGGGGUAAUGGCCUACCAAGACGAUGAUGCAUAGCCGACCUGAGAGGGUGAUCGGCCACAUUGGGACUGAGACACGGCCCAAACUCCUACGGGAGGCAGCAGUAGGGAAUCUUCCGCAAUGGGCGAAAGCCUGACGGAGCAAUGCCGCGUGAGUGAAGAAGGCCUUCGGGUCGUAAAACUCUGUUAUAAGAGAAGAACAAAUUGUAGAGUAACUGCUACAGUCUUGACGGUAUCUUAUCAGAAAGCCACGGCUAACUACGUG
This 337-nucleotide ribosomal RNA is filed under the name uncultured bacterium. Its description in RNAcentral is "bacterial SSU rRNA". It matches the Rfam family "Bacterial small subunit ribosomal RNA", at positions 183 to 507 of the family's 1533-position model. The record is from RNAcentral.